Ictalurus punctatus (channel catfish) is the source of this 1683-nucleotide long non-coding RNA. NCBI's taxonomy places the organism in Eukaryota, Metazoa, Chordata, Actinopteri, Siluriformes, Ictaluridae. The record is from Ensembl.
GUUGUCCAAAGUAUAUAUUUACUAUGUUUUUGGAAUUUAAAUAAAAAGUGCAUUUGCUUUUCAUACCAUUUCUGGGUGUUCUUGUUAUGUUUACAAAAUGUAUUUUACACAAAUACUUUUUUCUGGCAACCACAGCUGCCAGUUUCUUACCGUAAAUUUUAUGGGAUUUUCUUUUUAAAUACAUUUUGUAAGUUCUGUUUCAGGCAGUGUUGUGCUGGAUGGAGCUUGACUGCCCUCAUGUGUCCACCCUCGGGAAUGGCAAUUUUCCAUUAGCGGUGUUCUGGGUAAGUAAUAUGACAUGAUAUUACUAUUAAUCUCUCUCUCCUUUUUUAACUCGUUCAUAAUAAUUAUUGUUGUAAUAAUGUAUGCUAUACAUUACCUUUAUGUUUGAAAUUUUUAAUAACAUUAGAAAUACAUUUUAUAUUCUCAUCACUGCUCCUAUGUAACUUAAUGCUAUCUGUAGGUGGCCUCAUCUAUUUCAGUCGAGAAUAUCCAGAAAUAGUGAAGAUUACAAUGUUAAUAUUAUAUUAGAAAAUAAGGUGUGUACUUUAUUGUGAUGUUGAUAAAUAUACUGCUAUGUAUAAGAGAGAAUGUUAAUGUUAUAAGAGACUUACACCGUCUCUUUCUGUCGGUCUCCCCGGUGCACACACAGACAUAUAUAGUGAAAUCGGAGAAGCGAGCCAUAAGAUCUGUUAGGACAUCACAUUCAGAGUUCUAGACCCAUGUUGAUGGUAUGCUUGACGGUUGUUCCCUUUAUGACGCCGCGGAUCUCGAGUUUUUAAAUGUGAUGUCUGAGCACGCCUCUGUAUUCAUUUGACCGGAGUUUAAUUUAAUCAGUAAUCACCUAACUUUUUCAUUUUGUUUAUGUAGCAUGUUUAAGAAUGGACAUUGUCACAAAUUAGCUGUGCAGAUAUCUGGAUGUAUUAUUUCUUAUGUUCUUUAAAAAGAUAGUAGUAAUAAUGAUGAUGAUGAUAAUGGUGCUGUUAAACAGUUCAGAAGCUCCGUGUAUUGUCCUUGAUAUGUGAAAACUAUACAAUUCACUGUAAUAAUGCUGAUUAGCUGUGUCUGUGUAAAAUAGCCAAAAUCUCCCUUCUGUUUCAGGCGGCGUUGUGCUGGAUGGAGCUUGACUGCCGGUCUGUGUCCAAACUCGGGAAUGGCAAUUUCCCAGUAGCGGUAUUCUGUUCCAAGUCUACACUUGUAGUAGUUAGCCAAGAGUAGGGUUCGAUACUGGAUGAUUGAUUGGGGCUCUAAGGUAAGUGCUUAGAAAGUUAAGUGCCAAUCCCACUCUGUGUGGUAGGGUGUAGUCUAUAAGUGCUUUAAUCCUUUCUGAAAAAAGAAAGGUAAGUGCUUCAACACGCAUUUCAUUCAAUCCUCUAAAACACACACUAAAAAUCAAGCCAUCAAAAUCAAAAAAGGUUUCCCUUGAUCCCCUAUUCCAUCCUCCAAUCUUCAAACAUGUAUUCUUUUUAUUGUUGGAUAAUGUUAUUCUGUAGUUCCCUUUAGUACCUGAAUUCCUUAUUUAUACUCUUAACCCAUUCCUCAGCUUUACAUAUAUGGAACUUAAUCUCAUGUUAUGGUUUAAACCGAUGUCCUACCAUAAAUUUCUACCCCUCUCAUUGAGUCCCCCGGGAGUCCAUGUUUUUAAUCUGUGUAUCCAUUUGAACUCACUUCUUUUCCUUUGUU